RNAcentral lists this ribosomal RNA (352 nucleotides) under Escherichia coli. RNAcentral describes it as "bacterial SSU rRNA". It matches the Rfam family "Bacterial small subunit ribosomal RNA", at positions 1055 to 1407 of the family's 1533-position model. Lineage: Bacteria; Pseudomonadati; Pseudomonadota; Gammaproteobacteria; Enterobacterales; Enterobacteriaceae. The record is from RNAcentral.
UCAGCUCGUGUUGUGAAAUGUUGGGUUAAGUCCCGCAACGAGCGCAACCCUUAUCCUUUGUUGCCAGCGGUCCGGCCGGGAACUCAAAGGAGACUGCCAGUGAUAAACUGGAGGAAGGUGGGGAUGACGUCAAGUCAUCAUGGCCCUUACGACCAGGGCUACACACGUGCUACAAUGGCGCAUACAAAGAGAAGCGACCUCGCGAGAGCAAGCGGACCUCAUAAAGUGCGUCGUAGUCCGGAUUGGAGUCUGCAACUCGACUCCAUGAAGUCGGAAUCGCUAGUAAUCGUGGAUCAGAAUGCCACGGUGAAUACGUUCCCGGGCCUUGUACACACCGCCCGUCACACCAUGG